GCAUAUCAAUAAGCGGAGGAAAAGAAACUAACAAGGAUUCCCCUAGUAACGGCGAGUGAAGCGGGAAGAGCUCAAAUUUGAAAUCUGGUAGCCUUCGGUUGCCCGAGUUGUAAUCUAGAGAAGUGUUUUCCGUGCCGGCCCAUGUACAAGUCCCUUGGAACAGGGCGUCAUAGAGGGUGAGAAUCCCGUCCUUGACAUGGACCCCCGGUGCUUUGUGAUACACUUUCAACGAGUCGAGUUGUUUGGGAAUGCAGCUCAAAAUGGGUGGUGAAUUCCAUCUAAAGCUAAAUAUUGGCGAGAGACCGAUAGCGAACAAGUACCGUGAGGGAAAGAUGAAAAGCACUUUGGAAAGAGAGUUAAACAGUACGUGAAAUUGUUGAAAGGGAAACGAUUGAAGUCAGUCAUGCUCUUAGGAUUCAGCCGUUCUGCGGUGUAUUUCCUUUGAGUGGGGUCAACAUCAGUUUUGAUCGAUGGAUAAAGGCACGAGGAAGGUAGCACUCUCGGGUGAGCUUAUAGCCUCGCGUCAUAUACAUUGAUUGGGACUGAGGAACGCAGCAUGCCUUUAUGGCCGGGAUUCGUCCACGUACAUGCUUAGGAUGUUGACAUAAUGGCUUUAAACGACCCGUCUUUGAAACACGGACC
Molecule: ribosomal RNA, 642 nt
Filed under: Naganishia adeliensis
Lineage: Eukaryota; Fungi; Basidiomycota; Tremellomycetes; Filobasidiales; Filobasidiaceae
Description: eukaryotic LSU rRNA
Rfam family: Eukaryotic large subunit ribosomal RNA
Source: RNAcentral